CCCUUAGAUGUUCUGGGCCGCACGCGUGCUACACUGAACGGUUCAAUGGGUAAGGUAGUGCGAAAGCAUGACCUAAUCUCGAAAUCCGUUCGUGCUGGGGAUAGAAGCUUGCAAUUAUCCUUCUUGAACGAGGAAUACCUUGUAAGCGUGAGUCAUCAUCUCACGCUGAAUACGUCCCUGCCCUUUGUACACACCGCCCGUCGCUCCUACCGAUUGAGUGUUCCGGUGAGGCUUUGGGAGAAUGGUCUCAACAUGAGUUUAUCGUGUUUUGCCGUUUGAACUUAGUCAAACCUUAUCACUUAGAGGAAGGAGAAGUCGUAACA
Molecule: ribosomal RNA, 323 nt
Filed under: uncultured eukaryote
Lineage: Eukaryota
Description: partial 18S ribosomal RNA
Rfam family: Eukaryotic small subunit ribosomal RNA
Source: RNAcentral